AAAAGGCGCACAUGGUCAGUGGUGAUGGAGACUGGCCUUUUCCUCUUCCUCCCGAAACCAAGACACAUACACAUACCCCCACAAUUGGUCUGUCUCUUGGUGCAAGACAGAAGGAGGUAUGAGGUGGCUGGCUGUGAUGCAGGCUGGACACUCCUCCUAUGGGGAGUCUGGAAAGCUCGACCCAGUGAUGGAAAAGCCUUGCCUCUAAGCAUGGGGCUCGGCUGGGGAGUCUCUUCCCUCCAUUCCCCCCAACUCUACCAAGAACACAGGACGUGUGCCCACCUGGCCAAAGGCAAAGCCCCAUCCUGGCAGAGCUCAGAAGCCAAGACCACUCAGUAACUUGGCUGGCCCUGGUUUUAGGGCUAGAGAAGGUGUUACACACGGAUGGUCCAGAAUUUCAGUUCUUUUAAACGGGAUGGAACCUUGAAGGCCAGUGGCUCCAGCCUCAAGUCAUCCUCAUGAGAAAACCUAGACUCAGAAAGCUUUUUGCCCCUCAGGCUCCAGAGACGAAAGAGCCAGACCUGGAUCCCAGAACCUGCUAGACAGUCUCUGAGCUUGUCACCCGGUUCCAGAUCAGUACUUUGGUCAUAAGGGAUCACUGUCCAGAAAAACCUUAAUGGAGGUGGUUUGGGGUAAAAAAACAAAACAAAAUAAAAAAAAAAAAACCACCUGUUUUCUUAAUAGAAAAGCAACUCUCGGCGUGCCCAUCAGCAGCAGAUCUGUAUACAAAGGGUGGGUUCAUGUCUCAACGCCAAAUCACCACAUGCACCCUGGUGUCAGAGCCCAGAGAGAAGACAGCACGUCUACAGUGGGUUCGGCCACGCUUGCAGGCCCUUCUCUUUCCCCCUCCCUCCCAGAAGCAACUCAACCCUGUGCCCUGCCCCCUCCCGUAGCCCUCCUCCCCUGGAGGCCCCACCCCUGCCUUCCUAGACUGUGCUUCUACCCACAGGCAGCAGGGGAGACUGGGGUGAUUCUGGCCUUUCUGAACUACAAGCACGAGAGAGGCUGUGUGCCUGAAUGUGAACGCGCUUCAACUGUGUGUUCUGAGUGUGUGUUUGCGUGCACACACGGGAACAUAUGGAAAAACAAGAGAGGGACAAGGGCUCCGAGCAGAAGUGCAGGGAAUUUCUGGAGCAACCCCAGAAAAGUGCUGAAUCGGCCUGAAAUUCCUUUAAGGUUGUCCCCACCCCCCUUCCCAAUUUCCCUUUAAGCAUAAAAAUCUACCCUUUAAGAGGAAAAGGGGGGAGGCGGUGAGGAAAAGGGGGGAGGCAGUGAGGAGAAGGGGAAGGACUUUGCACUUGCAUUAGGGAAGACCACUUAACAAGGAGCUCCCUGCCUCGCACAAAGAGUUAUUUAAUUACCCUGGUCAUGAAUGAACAGACCAGACCCUUCUAGAAGACCAGAGGCUCAUGAAUGAACCUCACGCCUGGAAUGGCAACGGCACAGGGUGACCAGACCUCAAGGCCACACGGUAGGUAAGAGAGGAAUUUUUUAUUUGAAGAUGUGAGGAGAUGAAGAAAAGAAAAAACUGGAGGGGCAGAGAAAAGGCCAAGUUCAAUGGUACCAUGUCCAGUCUCCAGCUUAGGAAGGUGACCAUAACGCCAGAGAGGCAGAGCUGUUCCAAAGCACCCAGGGGGAUUCUGCGAGCAUCUGAAGUGAGGCCACCGCACCCGAGCUGGGUCCACAGACAGAAGGGGUGCUGAUGCGGGGGGUGGGGUGGGGGGGGGGGGCGCGGGUCUGAAUUUUCACAACAAGGAUGCUCUUGGGAAACUUAGACAGCAGAGUCACGGCAGCAGGCACCCACUGAGCCCGACGUGCCCACUGCCAGGGGCUGCAGCGGGCUGGAAUGCUCCUCUCUGAGAGGCACUUGGGUUAUAAAGAAAUUAACCUCUCUUAUCCAACAUUCUCGUUACCCAACAGUGGGAUGGGUCUGCGAGCCACCACUGCCCCCCCCCGCCCCAUCCUGCCCCUGCAGUGGUCCAGCGGAGCAGGCAGCUGGGGAUGGAACCCAGGCCACGGAGGGCAACCCUGGGACGCAAACAUGACCACGCCUCGCCCUCAGGUCCAGGGUCCUCCCUCCUCGGGACUCCCGGCGCCACCAAGGGUUGCCUCAUCCUGUCCUCCCCCUAAGCAGUCAUCCCAAAGGUUAACAGCUCCCGUCAGCCUGGGUCCCCACCCUGGGCAGGAAACUGGCUGUUCUGAGAGCGGCCAGCCCACUCCAGGGACAAGGACUGAGAUAAUAGUGCCAACCCAUCCAAUCUCACCCCCAACACAAUUAACGAAAAGUUUCUCACUGGUUUUCCGUUUUCGGGAAGCAAAUGGCCCAAAAACUAAAGCAAACACAUAAACGCUUGCCGCACCGUCUGAGCUCAGUCUGGGUUCUGGGGUCAGCUCUAAUCAGCCACGUUUACAACCUCAUCCGGAACUUGAAAGAUGACGUCAGAGCCGCUCCCCUAGACUCUGGGGGCAGCAAAGACAGCUCUGGGGAUUAGCGCAAGCUCCCCAUGAAGGUUGAAACUAAUUCAAAAUGUUUCAGGUUAACUCUCAGGUACCUGGCAAACGCUGAGUCCAGACCCAUCACCACUACCCCAAGCUCUUACAUCAAAGGGAUCAAGAAUGAAUUCUGGCUGGAAGAAGGCAAAAGGAAAAAGUUGGAUUUUUUUUUUCUUCCCAGAGCUCGGCAAUGAGGUUCUCCACUGAGGUGGCUGGACUUGGGGAUGGGCAGGGGGUCCCAACGGCUCUCCUUCAAGGGCCAGGGCGCUUCUUCAGAUCCCUGGGCCCAACCUCCCAGCUAUGGAGUCAGACAUCUCCCUUCAAAUCUGCCUCCCAAGCUUCCCUAAAAGCGGAGCUCCCAGUAGUGGCCUCACUGGUGUUAAGACAAUUUGCUAGAAGUCAGGAGAGGUCAGGGCCUGGCCAGCAGCCACACUGGAGGUGCUCAACUCUUAGGGGGCGUAUCAUCUCGGAAGUUUUCCAAGUGCUCAGAAAAUGCGGACCACACCUCACCCCACCCCCACCUCACCCCAAAUGGGAGAAGGGUUCUGGGGUGACAAUUUACACCUAGUGAGCAGUUACUAUGUAGAGCCCUGCUGGAAAGGGGCUCACAGAGAGGGGACCCCGCGAGGCUGCAUGGUGUUAGCAUCCCGAUGUUGAGGGAGGGGCAAGGAGGCAGGUGGAGGCACCCAUCAUCUGGGUUCAAGGCCAGAACACAGCCUUGUGUGAGCUGUGGGUGGGCAGCCACCUCAGGCCUCUAAAGCCACACCAGUUCUCUCCAAACGCCAGAGGGAAAAACAAGUGUCCUUCAGAGCCCACUUUGUUAACGCUAUGCCUACUCUGUUCCCAAGUGCGGGGUCCGGCUCCCUCGCACCAAGAAGCCAGGAGUGAAAAGACUUCUUUGCCUACAAGUCGUUGCUCUGUGACCUUGGUCAAGUGGCUUUGCCCCAUCAAGAGUCGCAGUCUGACCUGCCCACAGCUAACAAGAAGGGUAGAGAAACCGUCCAAAGAUGUGGAAAAAUCCAGCGAGAAACAAAAGUCCUUUUCAUCCCUCCCCUCCCCCAGCUCCCCUUGUUCCAUAACAAUUAUGAAAACUGUUGGACGGGAUGGCAUUUUGAACAUUUACUGCAUUCCGGCCAAUAAAUUCCAAUGCUGGAUCUGAUGGAAAAGCCUUCCUCUCCGGCCAGCUCCCUGGCUCCCCGCCCCCUGCUCACUCCCAGCACUCAUUCCUUCUUUCUUUACAACCCAACAGCAGGGCCAGGCCAGGGCCGCACUGUACUUGCAGGGAAAAACAACAGUUCGACAGAGAGGAGACAGUGUGCAGACAGGAAAAGUUAAUCAUUACUUCUGUCUGCCUCCGUAAUCUAAUCUCCCUGGCUUUGACACACUCACUGCUCAGCGAUCUCAGCCCUUUCACCCCCAAAGCACCCAGGACACCUCCCAGGCCUGAG
This is a long non-coding RNA of Dama dama (fallow deer), 3941 nucleotides long. RefSeq lists it as uncharacterized. The transcript has 4 exons. NCBI's taxonomy places the organism in Eukaryota, Metazoa, Chordata, Mammalia, Artiodactyla, Cervidae. The record is from RefSeq and is a predicted model, not a curated record.